AACGGCCAUACCAUGCAGAAUAUACCGGUUCUCGUUAGAUCACCGAAGUCAAGCAUCACUGGCCGCGGUCAGUACUUGGGUGGGUGACCACCUGGGAACACCGCGUGCUGUUG
RNAcentral lists this ribosomal RNA (113 nucleotides) under Caerostris darwini. Lineage: Eukaryota; Metazoa; Arthropoda; Arachnida; Araneae; Araneidae. The record is from RNAcentral.